CCUACGGUGGGCAGCAGUGAGGAAUAUUGGUCAAUGGGCGGAAGCCUGAACCAGCCAAGUAGCGUGCAGGAUGAAGGCCCUACGGGUGGUAAACUGCGGUUAUACGGGAAUAACGCGCCGUACGUGUAGGGCUUUGCAUGUACCGUAUGAAUAAGGACCGGCUAAUUCCGUGCCAGCAGCCGCGGUAAUCCGGAAGGUCCGGGCGUUAUCCGGAUUUAUUGGGGUUAAAGGGAGCGUCGGCCGCAUGUCAAGCGUGCUGUGAAAUGUCCGGGCUCAACCCGGGGCUUGCAGCGCGAACGGGCGUGCUUGAGUCCGCGGCAAGCAGGCGGAAUUCGUCGUGUAGCGGU
This 347-nucleotide ribosomal RNA is filed under the name uncultured bacterium. RNAcentral's name for it is "partial 16S ribosomal RNA". It matches the Rfam family "Bacterial small subunit ribosomal RNA", at positions 338 to 682 of the family's 1533-position model. The record is from RNAcentral.